Molecule: long non-coding RNA, 453 nt
Filed under: Eucalyptus grandis
Lineage: Eukaryota; Viridiplantae; Streptophyta; Magnoliopsida; Myrtales; Myrtaceae
Description: long non-coding RNA (EGRA_LNC005362)
Source: RNAcentral
UUUGCGAGAGAACAAAAGUCGCAGGGCUUCUCCGAAUGCUCUUCCCCUCCUCUACUCUCUCUCCUCCACUGGUUGCCCACGACGCCGACGCCGACGCUGACGCCUCUGCUCUCUCUCCUCCGCUAGUUGCCUGCGACGCCGAUGCCGAUGCCCUUUCCACCUCCGCUGACGCCUCUGCUCUCCUCCGCCGGUUGCCUGCGACGCCAACGCCCUUUCCAGUGAACCGCGACGCCGACGCCCCUCCGCCGGUUGCCUCCAUCGGCCCCGACUCCGACGCCGACGUUGACACAGCCUCCGCCUCCGCCUCCGCCCCCGACGCCGACGCCCCUCCGCCUCCGCCCCCAGGCGCCUCCCCUUCCUCUCCCCCGUCGCCAACUCCGUCGCAUCUCGCUAUUCCAGGUGAGCGCUGCUUCCGAUUCCUUUCUCUGCUCGCUCGCUCGCUCGCGACCGGCC